Molecule: unclassified non-coding RNA, 706 nt
Filed under: Hevea brasiliensis (rubber tree)
Lineage: Eukaryota; Viridiplantae; Streptophyta; Magnoliopsida; Malpighiales; Euphorbiaceae
Source: RNAcentral
UCUUGUGUGAAGGCUAUUAAGUUUUGUUCCACUGAUAGUCAAGGGGAGCUAAAAGAUUUUGGCUGUAAUAUAUUAAAAAAUCUUGAAGAUGAGCUAAUUGCUAAGCUUAGAUCUGCAAUGAAAGAAGCAGUGGAUGGUGAUGAAUAUUCUCUUCUUGUAAAUUUGAAAAGGUUAUAUGAGCUUCAGUUAACAAGGGCCGUACCAAUUGACAGUUUAUAUGAUGAUAUUGUUAGGAAUCUCCACAAUUUCAGAAAUGUGGAUGAUGAGGUUGUCAGUUUUCUGCUUCUCAAUAUGUAUUUGCACGUAGCAUGGUCUCUGCACUCUAUUGUGACCGGUGAAACUGUAUCUGAAGCACGCUUAUCCUCUCUACUUUCAAAACGCAAUAUCUUGUUUGAGGAACUUGAGUGCUUUCUUCUUAUCCCUUCUGAAGAAGAGAGAGUUGAUAAACACGCCAAUCAGCUAGCUUGCAGAGUUUGUAUCAUACUUGCGGAGACAUGGUGUUUGUUCAGACAGACAAAUUUUUCUUCAACAAAGCUGGAAAGCUUAGGAUAUUGUUCAGAUACCUCUGUUCUUAAAAAAUUCUGGAGACUUUGCGAACCCCAACUCAACAUUUCUGAUGAGACCGAAGAUGAAGACUCAAACAAAGAGUACAUUGAGGAGACAAAUAGAGAUGCAGUUAUGAUAGCUGCAGCAAAGUUGGUUGCUA